AUGGUUUAUAACAUAUUUGAGCCAAUAAAAUAAUGUUAGUUAUCAUUCUUGAGUGGGUUUGGCCAAUUCUAUCGAAUCUUGGACUAAGGCAUUAUGUAAUUUAAAUCCAAAGAUAGUUUGAAGAUAUUGUUGCAGAGGAGUUGUUAUUAAGAUAAUCUAUAACUUGUUCUCAUGUUUUCUGCCAUGCAAAAGCUGAAGAUCUUUUUUUGGAUUGAAAAGGGAACUAUAUAGGCUAGUAGGGUUAGGUCUUAUGGAAUUUUUCCAUGGGUUGUAAUUUCCUUUUUAUCAUCUGCCUCUCCUUGUUUUUAGUUCUAUUUGGACGAUAUUCUUAAAAGCAAUAGUGGAGUGCAUUUACCAGAAAAGGGACUGGUUAUUCUCUCAUCGUAUGUUGAGGGUGAGCCUUGGCUCAAUGGUAAGGGGUUGCUCUAUCAUGAUAUGGAAGUUGCACAUAUUUGACCCUUUUUAUGUCCUGCAAUGGCUGGAGCCUUGUGCAUUGGGCCGCCUUAUUAUUUUCUUAUGCUAAUAUAUCUCUUAAAGUUGCUCAAACUUUUAUUCUGCCAGGACCCACAAUUCUUGGAAAUGUUGGCAUUCAGGUGAGUUUCCUCCUGUGUUUCUUAUUGCCUUACAUGAUCUAUCUCGCCUACUUACAUUUCCUAGAGUGCUCACUGCAAGCAAUGCUUCAGGCAUG
RNAcentral lists this long non-coding RNA (688 nucleotides) under Phoenix dactylifera (date palm). RNAcentral's name for it is "long non-coding RNA (PDAC_LNC018837)". The record is from RNAcentral. Lineage: Eukaryota; Viridiplantae; Streptophyta; Magnoliopsida; Arecales; Arecaceae.